CCUACGGGAGGCAGCAGUGGGGAAUUUUGGACAAUGGGCGAAAGCCUGAUCCAGCCAUGCCGCGUGCAGGAUGAAGGCCUUCGGGUUGUAAACUGCUUUUGUACGGAACGAAAAGCCUCUUUCUAAUAAAGAGGGGUCAUGACGGUACCGUAAGAAUAAGCACCGGCUAACUACGUGCCAGCAGCCGCGGUAAUACGUAGGGUGCGAGCGUUAAUCGGAAUUACUGGGCGUAAAGCGUGCGCAGGCGGUUAUAUAAGACAGUUGUGAAAUCCCCGGGCUCAACCUGGGAACUGCAUCUGUGACUGUAUAGCUAGAGUACGGUAGAGGGGGAUGGAAUUCCGCGUGUAGCAGUGAAAUGCGUAGAUAUGCGGAGGAACACCGAUGGCGAAGGCAAUCCCCUGGACCUGUACUGGCGCUCAUGCACGAAAGCGUGGGGAGCAAACAGGAUUAGAUACCCUGGUAGUCCACGCCCUAAACGAUGUCAACUGGUUGUUGGGAAUUCACUUUCUCAGUAACGAAGCUAACGCGUGAAGUUGACCGCCUGGGGAGUACGGCCGCAAGGUUGAAAACUCAAAUGAAAUUGACGG
This 587-nucleotide ribosomal RNA is filed under the name uncultured bacterium. RNAcentral's name for it is "bacterial SSU rRNA". It matches the Rfam family "Bacterial small subunit ribosomal RNA", at positions 338 to 916 of the family's 1533-position model. The record is from RNAcentral.